This 73-nucleotide transfer RNA is filed under the name Mycobacterium phage Myrna. It matches the Rfam family "tRNA". From Rfam's summary of the family: Transfer RNA (tRNA) molecules are approximately 80 nucleotides in length. The record is from Rfam by way of RNAcentral. Lineage: Duplodnaviria; Heunggongvirae; Uroviricota; Caudoviricetes. RNAcentral also lists the same sequence under 1 other name.
GCCUGUGUAGCUCAUCUGGCAGAGCGCCCUGCUCAUAACGGGGAGGUAAGUGGUUCGAGACCACUCAUAGGUA